UCCGGUUUGUCACCGGCAGUCUCAUUAGAGUGCCCAACUGAAUGUAGCAACUAAUGACAAGGGUUGCGCUCGUUGCGGGACUUAACCCAACAUCUCACGACACGAGCUGACGACAGCCAUGCAGCACCUGUGUUACGGUUCCCUUUCGGGCACCCCUCCGUCUCUGGAGGAUUCCGUACAUGUCAAGGGUAGGUAAGGUUUUUCGCGUUGCAUCGAAUUAAUCCACAUCAUCCACCGCUUGUGCGGGUCCCCGUCAAUUCCUUUGAGUUUUAGCCUUGCGGCCGUACUCCCCAGGCUGGGCGCUUAAUGCGUUAGCUGCGGCACAGAGACCGUGGAAUGGCCCCCACACCUAGCGCCCACCGUUUACGGCGUGGACUAC
RNAcentral lists this unclassified non-coding RNA (379 nucleotides) under uncultured bacterium. RNAcentral's name for it is "contains 16S-23S intergenic spacer region". The record is from RNAcentral.